UCCAGUGGACAGACUUCAGACGUCUCUGUGUGUCCGGUCCUGUCUCUGGUUGCCUGGUUAAAGACGCUGCUGAACCCGCACGUUUAAAAAUGUCUACACCUGAAACUCCACCACGUCUAAAGAAGCAAAAACGUUUGCAAAUGUACAGACUGGAGUGGGAAGAGUGGAACCCCUGGCAAUGGAUACAAGGCAAACUGUGUUUUCUGUUGCUCAUGGACUGGCUGAAGUAAGGCAGCAUCAGGAGACAAACAUGGAGGAAAUAUGAGAACAGAGAGAACCCAACCAGCAGGUCACAGUUUAUCAUCAUCUAAUCAUCUCCUGAAGUCCAUAUGACCAAAGAACUACAGACUCUUCACAACCUGCUCAAACUCUUGGUACAGGACCUCACCACACGGGUCAAGAAGGUUUCCAUCUCAUUUCUACUCUGAAGCUCACCUUCUCCUGCUCAGACUGCUGACAAAUGUUUCUGCUGCUCUAAAGUCUGGUCUCCAGAACUUCCUAAAAACUUUCAAAGUCUCUUCUGCUGCAGGUUGCUUUGUAGAACUGUUGCAGAAAACCUCACUAAACCACAUGGAUGGGCCUCAAGAUAGUCGUCCAAAUGAAACCAUACAAAAACCAAACUAGCACAACCCAAACGCUAAAGUCUCCUGCAGCCUACCAGAGAACCUCUGAGAACAGAGAAUCAGGACAGGAACUCUUACCUUCUGGACAACCAACGCUGGUUCAGAAGCAAGAAUACAGAAUGUGUCUGACCAAAAACCUCUAAAGACUCACUACAGCCAAGAUACAGACACAACUCAGCUGUAUCAAAUCCACUAAUCACUGCACACAUUAGCACCAUGUGCUAACUGUGGCUAAAGAACCACAUCUACCAAGACAACUAUCCAGUACAAAGCCCUAAAACACACCAAGAAACACAUUAAAGACGAUUUUACUGCUGGAAGUUGCAAGCCAACGCCUAAAAAACAAACUAAAGCAAUGGAGCCAAACCCGGUUCAGUGGGAAGAGAAGCAGAGGAAAUGUUUGAAUGCAGCUAAAUAAAGCAGGAAGACACUGAGCUGCUCAGGUGUUCCUGAUAACACCUAGCAGCCACCUGGACAGCCAAUAGGAACACAGCUUACUGGAAGUCCAGAGGGCUGGGUUAGUGAAGGAAAUUUAAUUUAAAGUUGAAGCAGAAAGUUAACAAAGAAAGUUGAAAACCACCUUCUGAUACCUGAAAUCUCUGAGUUUUCACACAAAGAACACCUGAACGUGUCAAACUGGUUCUAUAGUAGAACCAUCAUUGUAAAAACGUCAUAGUAUGGUGUGUUGCUCAAAAAACAUUAGGACCCAGCUGUCUAGGGUUGCAGAGGAGCAACACAAAAACAGGACAAAUGCUGGUUUCCAGGGGGUUAGGCGGCUAUUUAUUUGAAAGAGGAAGUUCAUAACAACACAUGUGAGCAGAAAAAUCACAAAGUCUGUCUUUAGUUCAGCUGAAAAUAUUAGUUUUUGUCUUUUUUAUUGACCAAACUUUUCAGGAAGUAGAUGAAGAAUAAUUAAAGCUCUCAUGUAGAAGUCCAACUUAUUUUGGAUCCUUGUGGAGAGUUUAAUCUUUGUAAAGUUUGUAAAGCUGUUGAGUUUUUAGAGUCACAUGGAUUGUUUUGACAUUUAAUAACCGAGUCCUGAAAUAAAAUUACAGUUGUGGA
Molecule: long non-coding RNA, 1685 nt
Organism: Amphiprion ocellaris (clown anemonefish)
Lineage: Eukaryota; Metazoa; Chordata; Actinopteri; Pomacentridae
Exons: 2
Source: RefSeq, a predicted model, not a curated record